AUAGCCUGGUAGAUUUCACUGUUCCGGUGACCGGUGUCGGUCCGGACAAUUAAUAGGAUUAGGGCCACACUUAAGACAACUUGAGAAGCCAUAAACAUAAAUAAUUAGUAAUGUUUAAUUAGUUAACUACAAAUAAGAAAAACAGAACAUAAGAGGUUAAACGAGCCGAGAGUCACAGCGAUGAGUGACCUCCUCGGGAACGACUGCGAAGUCGUUUUAAACUCAAAUUUCGAACCGUAAAAAGUGACGCUGCGGUCCUUAGGACCCUCAUGAACACAGUGGAAAAGAGAAAACCACGAAAAAGAACUGUUAAGCCAGUCAAAUAAUUAGGUCAGGGAGCCGGAAGAAAUAUUGGAUUAUUUGCAAACCGGGAUGAACCGGCGAGGGGCAAUUUGGUUAAUUGACCCCGAGAGCUGACUCCUGACCUAACUGUCAAAUAAAAUCGGAGAAAAGAAAAUUUCAGAAUCGAGAAUUAAAUUAAAGAAAUAAUAGAAAAAAAAUAAAUAAAUAGAAAAAAAAAAAAAGGAAAGAGGUUGGAAAAGUCAAAAGUUAUGACAUAUGAUGUCAUAACUAAAUUAAUAAAUUGAAUUAAUUAAUUUGGAAUUAGUGGUCUUUCAUAAGCAAAAACGUGUAAGGGAAAAACAAAAGAAAAUCUCUUCUUCUUUCAUCUUCCUUGCCACCCCAUCUUCCUCCCAAGUUCCUCCAUGAGUGGACUUCCAUGUAAGCUUACUUUUAAGCUUAGUUUUCUUCACUUAAUUCAAAUAACUCCAUUAAAAACCUCCCUAGAGCUUAUUGUUACAACUUGAGAAGAGGAUUACAAGAAGAAGGAAGAGUUAAAGAUAGGGUUUUGAAGCUUUAACAAAAGUUGAAAAGAAUAUCGGGAAGGAACCCGAGGAACCGAGUCGAGGCUAAAGGACGACUCGUUUGAGAUACAGAGAUUAGAGGAGCAGCAG
Long non-coding RNA from Hevea brasiliensis (rubber tree), 953 nucleotides. RefSeq lists it as uncharacterized. NCBI's taxonomy places the organism in Eukaryota, Viridiplantae, Streptophyta, Magnoliopsida, Malpighiales, Euphorbiaceae. The record is from RefSeq and is a predicted model, not a curated record. The transcript is spliced from 3 exons.